RNAcentral lists this ribosomal RNA (428 nucleotides) under Verrucomicrobiota bacterium. Its description in RNAcentral is "Verrucomicrobia bacterium partial 16S ribosomal RNA". It matches the Rfam family "Bacterial small subunit ribosomal RNA", at positions 355 to 776 of the family's 1533-position model. The record is from RNAcentral. Lineage: Bacteria; Pseudomonadati; Verrucomicrobiota.
UAGGGAAUCUUCCGCAAUGGACGAAAGUCUGACGGAGCAACGCCGCGUGAGUGAAGAAGGAUUUCGGUUCGUAAAACUCUGUUGUUAGGGAAGAAAAAAUGUAUAGUAACUAUAUACAAAAGAGACGGUACCUAACCAGAAAGCCACGGCUAACUACGUGCCAGCAGCCGCGGUAAUACGUAGGUGGCAAGCGUUGUCCGGAAUUAUUGGGCGUAAAGGGCGUGUAGGCGGCUAGAUAAGUGUGAUGUUUAAAUCCAAGGCUUAACCUUGGGGUUCAUUACAAACUGUUUAGCUUGAGUGCUGGAGAGGAUAGUGGAAUUCCUAGUGUAGCGGUAAAAUGCGUAGAUAUUAGGAGGAACACCGGUGGCGAAGGCGGCUAUCUGGACAGUAACUGACGCUGAGGCGCGAAAGCGUGGGGAGCAAACAGG